CUCAAGGCCCUUCUUAGGGCCAUACAUUAUCUAUACUGCUACGAUU
Tinamus guttatus (white-throated tinamou) is the source of this 46-nucleotide non-coding RNA. The record is from Rfam. NCBI's taxonomy places the organism in Eukaryota, Metazoa, Chordata, Aves, Tinamiformes, Tinamidae.